Molecule: long non-coding RNA, 1901 nt
Organism: Bufo gargarizans (Asiatic toad)
Lineage: Eukaryota; Metazoa; Chordata; Amphibia; Anura; Bufonidae
Exons: 3
Source: RefSeq, a predicted model, not a curated record
GCAGCCGCGCAGCACCUCUCCCACAGGCUCAGGCGUCUGAACAGUUGCCAGCCUAGGAAUGCGGGAGACAUGCUUAUUUCCCUGCCUACCCUCUGAUCAGAGUCUGUGAUGCGAAGUCCUGUGUCAUAGAUGUCAAGCACUGUGGACAGGGAAGAAGAUUUUUGUGCUGUUGGUGAUUGGGAAAUGUGGAAGACUAUCAGGAGCACCUACUACUCAAUGCAAUCCAUCUAAGAGACCAAAGGGUGUUCUUAUAGGCAUUGACAGUGGCUGCUCAUACAGACUGUCUUGAGAAUGGAAAAAAACGUACAAUAAAGUGAAUUGGAAAUGAGAGACUUCAUAAGGGAAAUGCAUGGUAUAAUGAAUACUGAAGAAAGCUGCAUAGAACAAACAAGCUGAAAAAGUGGACAUGAGAUAUUCUUGAGUCAAAAAUGAAAAACUGCUAAUGUCCCUAUUAACAUGCACAUGUAACUUUAGCAUUGUCUACCUUAAAAGGGUUGUCUAUUAUCGCUUGGACGUGCAACCAGUGUCCACAGGCCCAUCUGGUGUACGCCGACCCGUGAGGAGCUGGAAUGAAGGAUGGGAGUGGUAGUGGCUUUGGCUGUCACAGUCAAUCAUGAUGGCUGUCCUCAAACCAUUGCUCCCUAGGGCCAUGCAGUGAAAGGAGGGGGCACCCUUCCUUCUUUCAGGACACACCCUGAUUCUGGGGCUCCUGCCUGAUGGUAACUGGGGUGCCCUUGAUGUUAGGUGUGCAAAAUAAGGGUUGUAUUGCAUCCAACAACAUUUUGGACAGAGUUAAAAUUCUUUCUCUACAUAAUGAGGUAUGGAGUCUGGCAUAGUGACAAAUAAUGGCACUCUCGGUAUGUUAUCUUGCUAAAGUAUCUCUCAGUACAAUCUCUGGCUGGUAACUUUAAUCUGGUAAUUAUAGCUGUAGUGUUCACAGGUCUUUAGAGGCACGUCUGACAAGCACGUGGUUAAGUGUGACGGGUGUCUUAACUGUAAUCCCUCACAAACUGCAAAUUCUGGUUAGCUGUAGUCGCAGGUUACGAUGCUGGCUCCUCUGCUUGGCAAUGCAGAUUCUAAGUUCUUCUUUCUUUCUCUCUUUCUUGCUGUAGCAGAAGCAGUAACUUUCAAAGAGAUUGGUUAGUCUCUGGAUCUUGAGGCGUAAGGAGAAGGAAAACAUAGACUUGCUUCCUUUAUCAUUACACAUUGUAGUCUACUCUCUCCCUUUAGUCAGGAAGUAGGACCAGCCUACUCGUGCUCCUCCUGAGAGAUACCCCCUGCACUGGGAUAUUGCAGGAGCACCUCCCGACAAUUGCUAGAACAAAGUUACAGCAGUACCAAGAAAGCGUCAUGGUAUUUCUUCCUGCUAUGGUGUUCAUUAUUAAGGGCAUUACCAAUGCACCCCGAAAAAACUAUUUGGUUCUACUUUGUUAAUACAGUGCUGUUGAGUCGUGUAUAACUGCAUAGUACUAGGCUGCAAAGCUGCUGCAUCCCAACUGCAUCACUGCCACAUCUUGUGGCUGUACCGUUAUGCUUCGGGGGCAAUUCAGCUGUUUGUCUGGGACCUUCAAUGAUUCGACUUGUACAGGGAAGCACAAUAUUUGGAAAACUGUGCUAAUUGGAAUCAUCUAUGCCGCCUGUGUGGCUCUUUCAUUCUACUCACCACUUUGGCAUCAGAUUUGACAAGCUAUACCCAUAACUGGGUAAAUAGAUUGUACUAGUUCAGAGAUUGGAACAUUUACUCAGCACUAUACAUGUCUUGAGGAAUAAAGUAUGUUGAGGGAAAUUAAAAGUAUUUCCAAGCUUUUUAACAGUUUUGUGGUCACGCCAACCCCCCACUGGACCUGUAAAGUUAACAUAAUUACCUGCCCCGAAUGCUUAGUUAUAGCUCCUUUGGUCCA